UACGGAGGGUGCAAACGUUGCUCGGAAUCAUUGGGCGUAAAGCGCACGUAGGCGGACCGCUAAGUCGGAUGUGAAAGCCCUCGGCUUAACCGAGGAAGUGCACUCGAAACUGACGGUCUUGAGUAUGGAAGAGGGUCGCGGAAUUCCCGGUGUAGAGGUGAAAUUCGUAGAUAUCGGGAGGAACACCAGUGGCGAAGGCGGCCGCCUGGACAAAAACUGACACUGAGACACGAAAGCGUGGGGAGCAAACAGG
Molecule: ribosomal RNA, 253 nt
Filed under: uncultured bacterium
Lineage: Bacteria
Description: partial 16S ribosomal RNA
Rfam family: Bacterial small subunit ribosomal RNA
Source: RNAcentral